UUUUUGCUGCGUUAAUGAUGGUAGUGACAUCCUUUUUUGUUUUUACAAAAAAGAUAUAACGGACAGCAUGACCCGAA
This 77-nucleotide small RNA is filed under the name Meridianimaribacter flavus. RNAcentral describes it as "Flavo-1 RNA". It matches the Rfam family "Flavo-1 RNA". The record is from RNAcentral. Lineage: Bacteria; Pseudomonadati; Bacteroidota; Flavobacteriia; Flavobacteriales; Flavobacteriaceae.